Pleuronectes platessa (European plaice) is the source of this 1031-nucleotide long non-coding RNA. RefSeq lists it as uncharacterized. The record is from RefSeq and is a predicted model, not a curated record. The transcript has 2 exons. Lineage: Eukaryota; Metazoa; Chordata; Actinopteri; Pleuronectiformes; Pleuronectidae.
CGGCUGAGGUCAGCAGAGUUUACAUCCAACAUCUUAGGUUCAUUAUUUUGAUGAUCAGUUAAAAAACUCUAUAGGAAUCGAAAGUUAUAUUGAAAGUCUCAUAAAUUUGAAGUGUUUUUACUGUGUCUGGAGUAGUUUGUGCUUCGUUCAUUGUAAAAUACCCAACGACCCGAUUUAGUUUGAAUGAUUCUUGAAGCAGCCUCCCUCACACUGUUCAGGUUAGCCCCCAUAACAGAUCAGGGGACAUGCUCAUUUUAUUUUCCCCUAAAGAUUAUCAAACUGAAUUUAGUGCGAACAAAACAUUUACAUAUGAGAGGAUAGAAAAUGCUUUAUUCUUAAUUUAUUAGAAUUAUUCUUCUAUAUAGCUUUCUCUCCUUCCUCUGAACCAAAGCUCUGCCUCAUCCAGCCGCCCGGCCCUCAUGCUGCCGGUCCAGGGUCACGGAGCGGUGCCUGGACUGAUGGAGCAGCACGAGCAGAGCAAACUCAGGAAGGAGAAAACUGAAGCUCAGAGCAGGGCGAGGGAGGGUGACUGCGAGCCCUGUGAAGACAGCAGGUGGCCUGGAUGUCCCUGAAGGUGGAGCAGUCGAAGACGGCCGUGAUCAUCUUCUUUCCCAUCUUGUAGGGAUAAAAGAAGAUGUUGAUACGGACCUGUUGUUUUGGUGCCAGGUCCGGGAGCCUGUGAGAGACGCAGAGGACCAUGAGGAGUUCUACAUUUACAGCAGCAGCGUUUAUUAGCAGCAUUAAACUGGAAAACCUUUCAAUAUUACAACUAAAGCUGAGAGUCGAUCAACAAAACUCAUUUAAAAUGUGCUGGUUUUACAUUUGCUUCAUUUGCUUCAUCAACUGCGAUUUUAACGUUUGACAACAUUAACUUCUUUUGUUGUUUUUUAUAUCUUAUUUUUUAUUUUUAUUAGUCCUGAUGAUAUAUAGAGAAAUUUGAAAUUAGUAAUAAAUGUAUAAUAUAUAGAGAAAUCUGAAUUUUUGUGUCGAUUAAUAAUUGAAGCACGUGAAAACAAAUAAAGCUUUUUUUU